RNAcentral lists this ribosomal RNA (253 nucleotides) under uncultured bacterium. RNAcentral describes it as "partial 16S ribosomal RNA". It matches the Rfam family "Bacterial small subunit ribosomal RNA", at positions 524 to 776 of the family's 1533-position model. The record is from RNAcentral.
GACGAACCGUGCGAACGUUGUUCGGAAUCACUGGGCUUAAAGGGCGCGUAGGCGGCUUGCUAAGUCAGGGGUGAAAUCUUUCGGCUCAACCGGAAAAGUGCCUUUGAUACUGGCAGGCUCGAGGGAGGUAGGGGUAUGUGGAACUUCCGGUGGAGCGGUGAAAUGCGUUGAUAUCGGAAGGAACGCCGGUGGCGAAAGCGACGUACUGGACCUCUUCUGACGCUGAGGCGCGAAAGCUAGGGGAGCAAACGGG